AUUUCCUUAUGUUUAAAACGUAAUGAGCAUCUCAAAACAUGUGAGAAAAACAGAAAUCAAACCCUACGAGAGACCUUCGACAUCAGAACCUCCAUCGGAAAGUAGAAUUCUGAUGCCGGACUCGAGCCGGGUAUUACAUUCUCCCCCCCUUAAGACCAUUCGUCCUCGAAUGAUCCUAAAACAAACAAUGAACACAUAAAAAAGAGGAAACUAACCUCAAAACAAAUAUGGAUACUGCUGGAGCAUAGACUCCCGCGUCUCCCAGGUGCAC
Molecule: long non-coding RNA, 271 nt
Filed under: Manihot esculenta (cassava)
Lineage: Eukaryota; Viridiplantae; Streptophyta; Magnoliopsida; Malpighiales; Euphorbiaceae
Description: long non-coding RNA (MESC_LNC005520)
Source: RNAcentral